This 500-nucleotide ribosomal RNA is filed under the name uncultured bacterium. RNAcentral's name for it is "partial 16S ribosomal RNA". It matches the Rfam family "Bacterial small subunit ribosomal RNA", at positions 30 to 523 of the family's 1533-position model. The record is from RNAcentral.
AUUGAACGCUGGCGGCAGGCCUAACACAUGCAAGUCGAGCGGUAGAGAGAAGCUUGCUUCUCUUGAGAGCGGCGGACGGGUGAGUAAUGCCUAGGAAUCUGCCUGGUAGUGGGGGAUGACGUUCGGAAACGGACGCUAAUACCGCAUACGUCCUACGAGAGAAAGCAGGGGACCUUCGGGCCUUGCGCUAUCAGAUGAGCCUAGGUCGGAUUAGCUAGUUGGAGAGGUAAUGGCUCACCAAGGCGACGAUCCGUAACUGGUCUGAGAGGGUGAUCAGUCACACUGGAACUGAGACACGGUCCAGACUCCUACGGGAGGCAGCAGUGGGGAAUAUUGGACAAUGGGCGAAAGCCUGAUCCAGCCAUGCCGCGUGUGUGAAGAAGGUCUUCGGAUUGUAAAGCACUUUAAGUUGGGAGGAAGGGUUGUAGAUUAAUACUCUGCAAUUUUGACGUUACCGACAGAAUAAGCACCGGCUAACUCUGUGCCAGCCGCCGCCGUAA